This 1247-nucleotide unclassified non-coding RNA is filed under the name Hevea brasiliensis (rubber tree). Lineage: Eukaryota; Viridiplantae; Streptophyta; Magnoliopsida; Malpighiales; Euphorbiaceae. The record is from RNAcentral.
CUCCUUUGUUCAUGCUGUGCCAUCUUCUGGGCCUGAAAAGGUGGGAAUUGCUGCAACUGAUAUGGAUUCAGUAAAGAUUGAUAUUAAUUUUAGAAGUGAAGUUUCUGGCGUAACAAGAAAUUGUAGCUCACUUAGAGAUGAUAAUGUGAUAAGAUCGACUUUAUCACCUAAGAGUCAAGGGUUACAGCAAUCAUACACUGACCAAUGUAGAGAACCUUUGGCUUCACCAGGAACUGAGAAAAUUUAUGUUCCAGGGGAAGAACAGCCUGACUGGAGAAUAGAUUCUCAAAUUCAAUCAGUUAUGAAUUCCAUUUCCGAAGUAGAGGAAGAUAUAAUAUCAUUUGAAAACCAGAGACUCAAGGAUCCGGAAGUUGUGAGUCAUUCUAUGUACCUGCCAAAUUCAGCUAAUUCACUCCAUAUUACAAAUCUUUCUAGGUCUCAUUCUUUGCAACGUAAUGAGCCUUUUGGUGCUGUCAAUCUAAAUGCUGAUCCUCUAUUCAUGGAUAAUAGAGUUGGUGACACCACACUCGUGCGCGCAUCUAGUAAUACUGUAAUAUCAAAUGGAUAUCCUGAGAAAUUGCUCCACAGUUCUACUGGUUUGGAUAGAAACAUGGAGCAUUCCUUCUCUCUUCCAAAUGAGGGGGAAGGGGCGCACAAGGGAAGGAAGAUUUCAGGGUGAUGCUACAGCCUCGGACGUGGGUGAGAACAGCAUAAUUUCAAAUAUAUUAUCACUAGAUCUUGAUGGAUGGGAAGAGCCGCUAACAUCAUCUCAGAAUUUGGCUAAAUUGUUGGUUGAAACUGAGAGACAGUCUAGUUCUCUCAAUUCCUGGAAAGUUCAAAAUAACAGUCAGUCUAGGUUCUCUUUUGCAAGACAGGAGGAAUCAAGAAAUCAAGCAGUUGAUGUUGAUCCAUGUUUUAGUGUUUUUGGGAAGUGGGCAAAGGAUCUCUCGUUUAGUCAGGGUUUUUCAGAAAAAAGAAAUUCAUAUUUGGAUAAGGUUGGGAUGGGUAAUGGUUUCUCUACUGGUAAUUUCGAGGAAUCUGAAAAUUUUACCAAUGGUCUUUCAGUUUUUUCUUCUAACAAGCCAUCUGCAGUUUCGAGAGCCCAAAUUUCUGCCCCUCCUGGAUUCUCUGUUCCUAACAGAGCUCCACCCCCAGGCUUUUCUUCCCAUGAGAGGAUGGAUCAGAUUUUUGAUACUAUAUCUGGUAAUCAUUUGCUCAACUCUUCUUCCAUGCUGAGAAAUUCAUAU